RNAcentral lists this unclassified non-coding RNA (240 nucleotides) under Hevea brasiliensis (rubber tree). The record is from RNAcentral. Lineage: Eukaryota; Viridiplantae; Streptophyta; Magnoliopsida; Malpighiales; Euphorbiaceae.
GUCAGGCUGCUGUAUAUUAUGGAGGUCUGUCCCUUUGCUUGCAAUACAAUCUUUUUAUCAACUCAUUUGAUUGUCUUGUUACAAUGCUUGUUUCAUGUGGUAAAGGAAUUUAUGUCCAAAAAAUGAAUCAUUUAAUGUUCUAAUUUCCUUUUUGUUUCAAUUGGUUGACAAGGGUGUGAAAGCAAUGUAAUAUCUCAUCACGACAUUGAUUCAGCUCAAAUGGUUUAAAGACUCCAUUGU